Molecule: ribosomal RNA, 498 nt
Filed under: uncultured bacterium
Lineage: Bacteria
Description: partial 16S ribosomal RNA
Rfam family: Bacterial small subunit ribosomal RNA
Source: RNAcentral
AUUGAACGCUGGCGGCAUGCCUUACACAUGCAAGUCGAACGGUAACAGGUCUUCGGAUGCUGACGAGUGGCGAACGGGUGAGUAAUACAUCGGAACGUGCCUAGUAGUGAGGGAUAACUACUCGGAAGAGUGGCUAAUACCGCAUGAGAUCUACGGAUGAAAGCAGGGGAUCGCAAGACCUUGUGCUACUAGAGCGGCCGAUGGCAGAUUAGGUAGUUGGUGGGAUAAAAGCGUACCAAGCCGACGAUCUGUAGCUGGUCUGAGAGGACGAUCAGCCACACUGGGACUGAGACACGGCCCAGACUCCUACGGGAGGCAGCAGUGGGGAAUUUUGGACAAUGGGCGAAAGCCUGAGCCAGCAAUGCCGCGUGCAGGAUGAAGGCCUUCGGGUUGUAAACUGCUUUUGUACGGAACGAAAAGCCCCGGGUUAAUACCCUGGGGUCAUGACGGUACCGUAAGAAUAAGCACCGGCUAACUACGUGCCAGCCGCCGCAGUAA